GGCUGCAGGGCUGAGCUGCAGCUCAGCAGGGAGGUUGUCCAACACUUUAUUAUCAAUCAGGUGAAAUUGCUGCCCAAUUAGUAAAUCAAUACUCCCUGCUGAGGUGAUCAGCUGUGCACAGAAAAGCAGGGAUGCAGGGAAAAGGGAGCUUUCUCCCUCUAACCCAGGGCCACAAAAAUCAAUGGAGUUGUGCUGUGGAACCUGUGCUCAUCACAGAAGAAAAGCAGCUGUCAGGGCCCCGUGUAACCAUGAGAUGGAAGAGCUACAGGGAACAGCACCAGCCUGCAGUGACAGCACACCAGGAAACAGCACCAGGUAUCAUGGUAUACUGAGACAGAGGAAGGAAUAAAAGACCCAGUUUCAGAGCUGCCUGUGCACAUCUAUAAUUAAGCUGCAACCUCACAAAAGCUGGUACCAAUAACCUCAGCAGAGAGACAAUAAGGAAAAAGAGGAACUGUCCCCAGAUGACUUUGUUAUCUCCUGAAAGGCUGGAAAAGACCAGGCCAAAGUUUUAAAGACAA
Non-coding RNA from Taeniopygia guttata (zebra finch), 521 nucleotides. The record is from RefSeq and is a predicted model, not a curated record. Lineage: Eukaryota; Metazoa; Chordata; Aves; Passeriformes; Estrildidae.